CCGAACCAAACCGGAAAACCGAACCGAACCAGUCCGAAAAAAAUUAUGGAGUGGUUAAAACGGUUAACAUGGAGUGGUUUGGUUUAAGAUUUUUAAAAAUCCCGGUUUUCGGUUAUGGUUUGGAUUUAAGGCUCGGUUAACCGAACCGAACCGAAAACCGAAAAACCCCUAAACUACGUCGUUUUAAAGAUCUGAUAAAAAAAAAGAGACAAAUGAUACACACUAUAAAACCUACCUUUAUAAUUGUAACCCUAAUUUACCUUUGUUCCAGCCGUCUCACAUCUCUUCUCCCUAUUUUCUCUAACCCAAACAUUUUUCUUCUCCUCCUCCAAUUCUUUCCCACCCAAAUAUUUCCCUUGUCCUCCAUCUAUUCUCUCCAUAGUUGAAAGAUUUUAUUGCAAAAAGCUUCACUGUUAUUUAAUGGUUAUUCAGGUGUGAAAUUCGUCGGCUUUUCGAUGGCUAGAGUUCGAGGUUUUGCUAUUAGAUGCUUAUUAUACAUGUUUAUACAAGAUGGCUUCCAUCAAAAGCUUAUUUUUAAAGGUCUAGCUAUUUAUGCAAAUCUGUGACUAAAGAAAGAGCUUCAAAGGAAAUCAACAAUGUUUUGUAUUUUAGUUUUAGAUUUGGUGACAGAAAUGUAAUAAAUUGCAUUUUAGUUUUAGGUUUAGAAAAAUGUAAAACUAUAUUUACACUUGAUUAGUAUAAUAAAUCAUGUAUAUAAUUAUUUAAUUUUUAUAUUUAGACCUGUUUUUUUUGUCUAAA
Mercurialis annua (annual mercury) is the source of this 759-nucleotide long non-coding RNA. RefSeq lists it as uncharacterized. The transcript has 2 exons. NCBI's taxonomy places the organism in Eukaryota, Viridiplantae, Streptophyta, Magnoliopsida, Malpighiales, Euphorbiaceae. The record is from RefSeq and is a predicted model, not a curated record.